RNAcentral lists this ribosomal RNA (374 nucleotides) under uncultured organism. RNAcentral's name for it is "partial 16S ribosomal RNA". It matches the Rfam family "Bacterial small subunit ribosomal RNA", at positions 527 to 896 of the family's 1533-position model. The record is from RNAcentral.
GUAGGUGGCAAGCGUUGUCCGGGAAUUAUUGGGGCGUAAAGCGCGCGCAGGCGGUUCUUUAAGUCUGAUGUGAAAGCCCACGGGCUCAACCGUGGAGGGUCAUUGGAAACUGGAGAACUUGAGUACAGAAGAGGAAAGCGGAAUUCCACGUGUAGCGGUGAAAUGCGUAGAGAUGUGGAGGAACACCAGUGGCGAAGGCGGCUUUCUGGUCUGUAACUGACGCUGAGGCGCGAAAGCGUGGGGAGCAAACAGGAUUAGAUACCCUGGUAGUCCACGCCGUAAACGAUGAGUGCUAAGUGUUAGGGGGUUUCCGCCCCUUAGUGCUGCAGCUAACGCAUUAAGCACUCCGCCUGGGGAGUACGGCCGCAGGGCUG